RNAcentral lists this transfer-messenger RNA (325 nucleotides) under Rhodospirillales bacterium. It matches the Rfam family "Alphaproteobacteria transfer-messenger RNA". Rfam says of the family: Bacterial tmRNA, also known as 10Sa RNA or SsrA, is named for its dual tRNA and mRNA-like properties. Its role is to liberate the mRNA from a stalled ribosome. Lineage: Bacteria; Pseudomonadati; Pseudomonadota; Alphaproteobacteria; Rhodospirillales. The record is from RNAcentral.
ACCCUUUUAACCGAAGGCUGAAAUCCCUAUAUUGGAGAUGCCGGGCAACCGGCUAUGGCGAUAAACGGCCUGUGUAAUAAGCGAUGCGGACCCGGGGGCAGUACCCGGCGCCUCCACCAACACCGCUGCCGCGGGAAACGAAAGCGGCAUCGGUUUUUAUGGGGGCGAAAUAGGAUCGACGCGCGUGUAAAGACUGGUUUUUCGCCCGGCAUGGUACCGCCGUUAUCGGGCCAAACCUACAGAUGCCAAUGAUAAUGACUUGGCUCUCGCUGCUUAACUAAGCAAGCGCGGCCCGGGGGGCGCCGGGCAACAGAAGCCCCCCACU